This 51-nucleotide ribosomal RNA is filed under the name Nitrospirae bacterium CG_4_9_14_3_um_filter_41_27. Its description in RNAcentral is "partial 23S ribosomal RNA". Lineage: Bacteria; Pseudomonadati; Nitrospirota. The record is from RNAcentral.
GCAGUAAUGCAUUGAGCUGACCAGUACUAAUAGACCGUGUGACUUGACCCU